This 393-nucleotide long non-coding RNA is filed under the name Microcebus murinus (gray mouse lemur). Its description in RNAcentral is "lncRNA (ENSMICG00000048186.1)". Lineage: Eukaryota; Metazoa; Chordata; Mammalia; Primates; Cheirogaleidae. The record is from RNAcentral.
GGACGCGGUGGCGCUUUACCCUGGCAGCAGCGGCCGGUGGCAGCCCGCACCUUCUGUCAGCACUUUCAGAAACGUCCUCCUGGGGCCGGAGGGUCACACCAGUAACAGCUGGGAGGCGCCCCUUUCUCAGCUGCCUGAGCCUUAGCCUGCAGUCGCCUCCACUAAAGAAGCAGCGCUCCCUCCUCCACAGGUAAAUGGAAAAGAGACCAAGAGAAAAAAAUAAGUGAUUUAAUGACCUGGCUUUACCCACAGAGUGGAGAAUAAAAUACAAGAAUCCAAACCCUGCCCUUCUAUGUCAUCAUCGUCUUUGACAAAUACAGGUGAGUGUUUUUAUUCAUUUUGAGAGUUGACCUAGUGCCUAUGGAAACAGAAAAGGGCCAAGAUAACACUGCA